RNAcentral lists this transfer RNA (76 nucleotides) under Clostridiaceae bacterium. Its description in RNAcentral is "tRNA-Thr". It matches the Rfam family "tRNA". Rfam says of the family: Transfer RNA (tRNA) molecules are approximately 80 nucleotides in length. Their secondary structure includes four short double-helical elements and three loops (D, anti-codon, and T loops). The record is from RNAcentral. Lineage: Bacteria; Bacillati; Bacillota; Clostridia; Eubacteriales; Clostridiaceae.
GCCCACGUAGCUCAGUUGGCAGAGCGUUACCUUGGUAAGGUAGAGGUCACCAGUUCAAUUCUGGUCAUGGGCUCCA